Molecule: long non-coding RNA, 353 nt
Filed under: Lathyrus oleraceus (garden pea)
Lineage: Eukaryota; Viridiplantae; Streptophyta; Magnoliopsida; Fabales; Fabaceae
Description: Pisum sativum (pea) long non-coding RNA (PSAT_LNC038217)
Source: RNAcentral
GAAAAAAUCUUGGACUUGGACCUCUCUCAUUUGAGCCCACAGGUCCACAAAAAUCAGGUUAUAAAUUCAGAGUUUCAGUGAAACAAAAGGCCAUUCUAUUCCUAUUACCCUGUUUGGGAAAAAGAUAACCCACAGGUCCACAAAAAUCAGGUUAUAAAUUCAGAGUUUCAGUGAAACAAAAGGCCAUUCUAUUCCUAUUACCCUGUUUGGGAAAAAGAUAGUGAGAGAAGAACCCUGGGGAAAAAGAUAGUGAGAAAAGAGCUAACAGAGUUCAGAGCAACCUCCGGGCAACUCUGAAAGGUUCAUUCUGACUCACACACUUUCAGCUCAAGCAAACCCUAACAUUGGUUUGC